Molecule: transfer RNA, 73 nt
Organism: Camelus ferus (Wild Bactrian camel)
Lineage: Eukaryota; Metazoa; Chordata; Mammalia; Artiodactyla; Camelidae
Rfam family: tRNA
About the family: Transfer RNA (tRNA) molecules are approximately 80 nucleotides in length. Their secondary structure includes four short double-helical elements and three loops (D, anti-codon, and T loops).
Source: Rfam
GAGGGUAUAGCUCAAGGGGCAGAGCGCAUGCUUAGCAUGCACGAGGUCCUGGGUUCAAUUCCCAGUACUUCCU